GGGGGCGACUGGUUUCGACAUGGUACGUUCGAUAUGAGGAGCAGGUCGUGGUCUCCUCUCCACGUUAAACAGGGGUACCGUCAAUUUAAUUGGCAAAGCUAAGACUCAGAGCGCUCCUGCGCUCGCCAUGGCUGCUUAAUCGCGCCUGGCUGUCGUCCCGGGAACUUCCCCGAUUCCGGGUUCGGCAUCAUUUCAGGGGAAUGCGCGCGGGCACGUAGCCGGUAUGGCUCGCGCAAAGAUCGAACCGGCUGGGAAGGGCGACGUUUGCCGGCGGACCGGCCCCUUCCGAGAACCGACCGUCUGCUAAGCCUGUAGAGCCUGAUGGAGAAGGUAGUAUGGACCGGAGUUCGAUUCUCCGCGCCUCCACCA
RNAcentral lists this transfer-messenger RNA (369 nucleotides) under Eggerthellaceae. Its description in RNAcentral is "Rubneribacter avistercoris Standard tmRNA". It matches the Rfam family "transfer-messenger RNA". Rfam says of the family: Bacterial tmRNA, also known as 10Sa RNA or SsrA, is named for its dual tRNA and mRNA-like properties. Its role is to liberate the mRNA from a stalled ribosome. RNAcentral also lists the same sequence under 2 other names. Lineage: Bacteria; Bacillati; Actinomycetota; Coriobacteriia; Eggerthellales. The record is from RNAcentral.